Molecule: ribosomal RNA, 301 nt
Filed under: uncultured bacterium
Lineage: Bacteria
Description: partial 16S ribosomal RNA
Rfam family: Bacterial small subunit ribosomal RNA
Source: RNAcentral
CAGCAGCCGCGGUAAUACGAAGGGUGCAAGCGUUAAUCGGAAUUACUGGGCGUAAAGCGUGCGUAGGCGGUUUGUUAAGUCUGUUGUGAAAUCCCCGGGCUCAACCUGGGAACUGCAUUUGUGACUGGCAAGCUAGAGUGUGGCGGAGGGGGGUGGAAUUCCGCGUGUAGCAGUGAAAUGCGUAGAUAUGCGGAGGAACACCGAUGGCGAAGGCAGCCCCCUGGGCCAACACUGACGCUCAUGCACGAAAGCGUGGGGAGCAAACAGGAUUAGAUACCCCGGUAGUCCCUGUCUCUUAUAA